UUCUGGUGACUCUUGCGACUGGGUUACACCUCUUCCCAUCCCGAACAGAGCAGUUAAGACAGUCCGCGCCGAUGGUACCUCCAUGAGGGAGAGUAGGUCGUCGCCAGAAUC
This 111-nucleotide ribosomal RNA is filed under the name Candidatus Moranbacteria bacterium GW2011_GWD2_36_198. RNAcentral also lists the same sequence under 1 other name. The record is from RNAcentral. Lineage: Bacteria; Candidatus Moraniibacteriota.